Molecule: long non-coding RNA, 2574 nt
Filed under: Betta splendens (Siamese fighting fish)
Lineage: Eukaryota; Metazoa; Chordata; Actinopteri; Anabantiformes; Osphronemidae
Description: lncRNA (ENSBSLG00000019553.1)
Source: RNAcentral
AUGGAGUUCACCUGCGCCGAGCUACCCAGCGACCUACGCGUUUAUUUUCAAAUCCUCGCGGAGGAUUACAGACGGGCGGUUACCCCGAGGAACCAGCGCAGCGCCGUGGAGGUGGCGAUAUUGACGCUGGAGGACGAUGACAGCGUGUUGGAGCGCCCCAGUGUUCGUCGCCUCUAUGAGCGGCUGUGCGAGCUAAGCGACGCGCUCCGCACCACGCCAGCGCCGGUCGCACCGCCGAAGGUUUCGGUUUCCUCCUCCCCGCCCCGUCGCACCGUUGUGUCUGCACCAACCUGCCCAGCUCCAUGUUUGUUCCGCUGGGAGGAUUUCCUGCACUCAUGCGGUCCCCAGUUCAGCCGUGUGUUGCCCAGUCCCCAGUUCAGCCGUGUGUUGCCCAGUCCCCAGUUCAGCCGUGUGUUGCCCAGUCCCCAGUUCAGUCGUGUGUUGCCCAGUCUCCAGUCCAGCCGCGAGCUGUUCAGUCUCCAGUCCAGCCGCGAGCUGUUCAGUCUCCAGUCCAGCCGCGAGCUGUUCAGUCUCCGGUCCAGCCAAGUCCUGUUCAGUCUCCGGUCCAGCCGAGUCCUGUUCAGUCUCCGGUCCAGCCGAGUCCUGUUCAGUCUCCGGUCCAGCCGAGCCCAGUCCCGGUUCCAGUUCAGCCGAGCCCAGUCCCGGUUCCAGUUCAGCCGAGCCCAGUCCCGGUUCCAGUUCAGUCGAGCCCAGUCCCCAGUCCAGCCGAGCCCUGUUCAGUCCCCAGUUCAGUCGAGCCCAGUCCAGUCCCCAGUUCAGUCGAGCCCAGUCCCGGUUCCAGUUCAGUCGAGCCCAGUCCGGGUCUCAGCCCAGUCGAGCCCUGUCCAGUCGAGCCCUGUCCAGUCGAGCCCUGUCCAGUCGAGCCCUGUCCCAGUUCAGUCCAGUCACGCUCCUGUCCCAGUUCAGUCCAGUCACGCGCAGGUCUUAUCCCAGUCAGAGGACUCCAACUGUCGAACGGGUGCUGUGCACACCCGAUCAGGCCCGACGUCUCCUCCGUCGAGCUCGGCAGCUGUAAGCAGUCAUGCCGGCUCCGGAGGGGACGCCGUCCCAGUUCCUGUCGGCCAUGUUGCGGCCGUUCCUGUCGGCCAUGUUGCGGCCGUUCUAGUCCCUGUUCCUGUUCCUGUCGGCCAUGUUGAGGCCGUUCCAGUCCCUGUUCCUGUUCCUGUCGGCCAUGUUGAGGCCGUUCCAGUCGGCCAUGUUGCGGCCGUUCCAGUCCCCGUUCCUGUUCCUGUCGGCCAAGUUGAGGUCGUUCCUGUUUCUGUCGGCCAAGUUGAGGUCGUUCCUGUUUCUGUCGGCCAAGUAGAGGUCGUUCCUGUUUCUGUCGGCCAAGUAGAUGCCGUUCCUGUCCCUGUCGGCCAAGUAGAUGCCGUUCCUGUCCCUGUCGGCCAAGUAGAUGCCGUUCCUGUCCCUGUCGGCCAAGUAGAUGCCGUUCCUGUCCCUGUCGGCCAAGUAGAUGCCGUUCCUGUCCCUGUCGGCCAAGUAGAUGCCGUUCCUGUCCCUGUCGGCCAAGUAGAUGCCGUUCCUGUCCCUGUCGGCCAAGUAGAUGCCGUUCCUGUCCCUGUCGGCCAAGUAGAUGCCGUUCCUGUCCCUGUCGGCCAAGUAGAUGCCGUUCCUGUCCCUGUCAGUCUUGGGGUGGCAGUCCCGGCGGACCUCCAGGAGGGGGUCGCGCCCGCCGCAGUCCCGGCGGACCUCCAGGAGGGGGUCGCGCCCGUCGCAGUCCCGGCGGACCUCCAGGAGGGGGUCGCGCCCGUCAUAGUUCCGGCCGCACCUGCAUCGGUUCCUGGCGGCUCCGGCCGCACCUGCAUCGGUUCCUGGCGGCUCGGCCGCACCUGCAUCGGUUCCUGGCGGCUCGGCCGCACCUGCAUCGGUUCCUGGCGGCUCGGCCGCACCUGCAUCGGUUCCUGGCGGCUCGGCCGCACCUGCAUCGGUUCCUGGCGGCUCGGCCGCACCUGCAUCGGUUCCUGGCGGCUCGGCCGCACCUGCAUCGGUUCCUGGCGGCUCGGCCGCACCUGCAUCGGUUCCUGGCGGCUCGGCCGCACCUGCAUCGGUUCCUGGCGGCUCGGCCGCACCUGCAUCGGUUCCUGGCGGCUCGGCCGCACCUGCAUCGGUUCCUGGCGGCUCGGCCGCACCUGCAUCGGUUCCUGGCGGCCCGGCGCUGACCGCGUUGCCACGUCUGUUCUCGCUUCGGCAGCUGGACUGGUGGCCUCGCCCUCGGCGCUUCCGGCCGUUUGGGUGGCGCUGCCUCCUGCGUCGACGUCCACCUCGACCCCUCGAUCUCCAGGAUCAGCGUCGUCCUGGAGGACGUCGUCGUUCGGGGGGGUCCCCGUGGACGCUGGCCCAGCCCAAGGGCGCUGGGGGUGCCCUCCUGCCUCAGCGGCGGUUGAGCAGGAUCUCGCCGCGUCCCCACCCUCCGUGAGGGACUCCCUGGACUCUGAGUUUUCUGGUCAUGGACUUUGUUCCUGUCUCAUGGACAUUCAUGUUGUUUUCGGGUUUGAGGCUCGUCCUUGUUUUGGGUUUUUGGUGGGCCCUCUGGUCUGUUGUGUUCGGGCGUGA